RNAcentral lists this ribosomal RNA (112 nucleotides) under Anaerotignum lactatifermentans DSM 14214. Its description in RNAcentral is "23S rRNA. Bacterial LSU". It matches the Rfam family "Bacterial large subunit ribosomal RNA", at positions 1 to 115 of the family's 2925-position model. The record is from RNAcentral. Lineage: Bacteria; Bacillati; Bacillota; Clostridia; Lachnospirales; Anaerotignaceae.
CAAGCAAGAAAGAGCACAGGGUGAAUGCCUUGGCACUGGGAGCCGAUGAAAGACGUGGUAAGCUGCGAAAAGCUUCGGGGAGGCGCAAACAGCCAUCGAUCCGGAGAUUUCU